Neogale vison (American mink) is the source of this 436-nucleotide long non-coding RNA. RefSeq lists it as uncharacterized. Lineage: Eukaryota; Metazoa; Chordata; Mammalia; Carnivora; Mustelidae. The transcript has 3 exons. The record is from RefSeq and is a predicted model, not a curated record.
CACAGUUGGACAAGUUAGAGCAUCUUCAUGGACCAAAGGCACUGAAGAGUUGGAGCCGGGACUGUUGAAGACGAUUUAAAUGCGUGGUGAUCACCAGGACUGAGAUGUCACCUCAAGACUGGUCGGUGUGCUGGUCAGAGUUCAUGCUCUAAGAUUCCUUGCUGGACACCUACACAUCCUCGCCUCACGUGCAUUCAUGCUGCUGAAUAGGUUAUAUCUCUUUUUUGACAUUUGGCGAGUCUUCAUGGCUAACAGUGAUGAGCUAAUGAUUAUCGAGAGAUGCUGUACAACUUAAAGACACCUGCUUCCACCCAAAGAAGGUAACUCUAUACUAAUAAUAGCACAUUCCUGCAUGAAUUUGCCUGGGGGUAGAAGGCAUUUGUGAAUUAGGGGCCCAAAGUAACAGAAGUAUUACCAACAGGAAUGAGAACAGAAA